RNAcentral lists this ribosomal RNA (253 nucleotides) under uncultured bacterium. RNAcentral's name for it is "partial 16S ribosomal RNA". It matches the Rfam family "Bacterial small subunit ribosomal RNA", at positions 524 to 776 of the family's 1533-position model. The record is from RNAcentral.
UACAGAGGGUGCGAGCGUUAAUCGGAAUUACUGGGCGUAAAGCGUGCGUAGACGGUUAUUUAAGUCGGGUGUGAAAGCCCCGGGCUCAACCUGGGAAUUGCAUUCGAGACUGAAUAGCUAGGGUACGGUAGAGGGAAGUGGAAUUUCCGGUGUAGCGGUGAAAUGCGUAGAUAUCGGAAGGAACAUCAGUGGCGAAAGCGACUUCCUGGACCAGUACCGACGUUUAGGCACGAAAGCGUGGGGAGCAAACAGG